Arachis duranensis is the source of this 2091-nucleotide long non-coding RNA. RefSeq lists it as uncharacterized. The record is from RefSeq and is a predicted model, not a curated record. NCBI's taxonomy places the organism in Eukaryota, Viridiplantae, Streptophyta, Magnoliopsida, Fabales, Fabaceae. The transcript has 8 exons.
AAAAAACUAAUAACCCCAAACCCAAUAUCCCUGCAUCCUAAUAACCCUAAAACUUGGCCAAAAGCUUCGCGAGACUCUCUCACUCUCCACUCUUACCAUCAUUCUCAUCUAUGCCAUUUCUUCAGUACUUCACCCAGAAAGAAAAACAAGAUACUACUAAUAAUAAAACCCUAAAUCCCCGAAUCCAAUUCAACAAAACCCUAAUUUACCCCUCCGAUUCUCGCAUCUCCAUGGUGUGAAGUGCGAACUCUGGCGUAUUCAAUUGCUCCCACAAUAAACGAUUUGAAGAAUGUCACAAAACGACCGCCCGGAGGCGCCGUCCCCGGCGACGGCCGCAAACGGCUCUACAGCGGCGAAGGAGGAGAAUCCAACUGCGAGGGCAUUGGUUUCUUCGAGCAAGGCUGAGGCUGAAUCUGAACAAGGAGCACAAAGCGGAGGAGUACGAAGACUUGCAAUUGAUGUAUUGCCCAGCGGUUUUCACCGCACUGGAGAGGUACCUUCUGCCAAACAUGCUCAAUGCUCGUCGCGAACACAAGUUAAUUUCAAUUGAGGCUGGUAAACUGCAGCAAAGUAAACCUUAGGAUUCCUUAAAAUGAACAGAUUUCUCCAACUGAAAUUCGCGGUGCGCUUGGAUCUAAUCAACUUCUUCCGAGAAUUUAUAUCGCUUUUGUGUUGUUGGUCGGAAUUCUUCUGUUUAGUUCUCUUUUCGUGAACGUGUCUUGAAUCUGGUCACAUUUGGAAGCCCCUUCUUUCACUGAUUUCUCCAACUGAAAUUCGCGGUGCGCUUGGAUCUGUUAAUCAACUUUUAAUAUGUAGUGGGAUUCUUGCAGCAUUAGUAGCCGGCUUGCCUCUUGCAGGAAAUCCUAUAUGACAAUGUUUAGAAUUUUGGUUAUGCAUGACUUAACAGCAGCAAGUCAAGGUUCUUCUGAACCUGAAGCAAGAUGAUUUGAUCUUUUUAGUAGCCGGUAUCGGAAAGUUGUCAGUGUUAGAGCAGCACUUUUCUUGUUCUAGCAGUUUGCCGCAUCAAUGGAAGAUUUGGAACCCUUACGGCCGUUCCAACACACCGUAUGGUUAUGAAAAUUCAACUGCCUCUUGUCUUUGCAUUCUACAAAUUCCUUAUUCAAAUUGAUAUAGAGUGAGAAACAUAAAAGGAACAAUGAGAUUUGCUACAAGAAAGCGGGACUUAUCAUGCAGCAGUUUGAAGUGAUGUAUAUUUAGAAGCCUGUGUCGAGUUGAGCAGAAAUCAGUGAGAAGCUCCGUUUCAAUGUUCAAAGACUUUCCAGAUUUAGGAAGAAGAAUGCAAGAACAAAGGCAGCUGUUGCACGUAGCUUUUGCAAAGCGAUCUAUGUUUAUGACCAGGACAUACAUGUUCAUACGUUACGACCGUAAGGAUUCUAUACAGUACUUCAACACUUUUUAUCUUAAAUUUUUAUGAAAAUAGGAAUAAGUAUCUGCCCUUAAUUGCUUCUCCAUGAUUCAUUCUUAUUUUUCCAGCCCUGCAAUACCCUUUAGACUUGAAUAUGACCUAACUUUGGCAAUUUACAAUAUUUCUUUGGCUAUUUAUUUUUUAUGAUAAGAAUUGUAUGCUGUUCACUUUAAUCUCAAUUAUUGAUUUCUCUCUUCUCUUGUUUUGGUUCACAUUUCAGUUCAGUUCCUGUGCACUGUGUUGUUUUUUUCCUUAUUAAUCAAGGCAAUCAAGUUUAGGUAUCUAGCUUACUUUAAUUACAUAAAUUGGCUUAUUUUCUUAAUUUUUCUUUUUCGUUUCCUUGGACAUAAGUGAUAUUAAGUGACCUGGUAUUUGCUUGUGGAGGCAAAAGAAUAACUGAAAAUCUGCUGGAGGAGUUCUGGUAAAAAUGUUUACAAAUGUUCUAGAAACAAUUAUGUAUGAUCUAACGGAAGGAAGUUUAAGAGGGCUAAAGGAAGGAGGAACAACAAAGGACUUAGGAUUUAAGCUGUAUUGUUUCUGUAUUUUUUUUUUCAGUUUUUAGUUUUGGAAUUUGAACUUGAGAUUUAUUUUGUAUUGGAGUAUUAGUUUUUUAAUGUAUAAAAUAAUUAUAGCAAAAAUUAUAUAUGUCACUAAUUAUUGUUUGA